Molecule: ribosomal RNA, 274 nt
Filed under: uncultured bacterium
Lineage: Bacteria
Description: partial 16S ribosomal RNA
Rfam family: Bacterial small subunit ribosomal RNA
Source: RNAcentral
UACGAAGGGGGCUAGCGUUGCUCGGAAUCACUGGGCGUAAAGCGCACGUAGGUGGGUCAUUUAGUCAGGGGUGAAAUCCUGGAGCUCAACUCCAGAACUGCCUUUGAUACUGAUGAUCUUGGAGUCCGGGAGAGGUGGGUGGAACUGCGAGUGUAGAGGUGAAAUUCGUAGAUAUUCGCAAGAACACCAGUGGCGAAGGCGGCUCACUGGCCCGGUACUGACACUGAGGUGCGAAAGCGUGGGGAGCAAACAGGAUUAGAAACCCCAGUAGUCC